GCCGGGGUAGCUCAAUCGGUAGAGCGUGUGGCUCUUAAGGACUAUAAUGUCCAGAAACCUCAAGGUCGUGGGUUCGAGCCCCACCUUCGGCU
Molecule: transfer RNA, 92 nt
Filed under: Cercospora zeae-maydis SCOH1-5
Lineage: Eukaryota; Fungi; Ascomycota; Dothideomycetes; Mycosphaerellales; Mycosphaerellaceae
Rfam family: tRNA
About the family: Transfer RNA (tRNA) molecules are approximately 80 nucleotides in length. Their secondary structure includes four short double-helical elements and three loops (D, anti-codon, and T loops).
Source: Rfam by way of RNAcentral